This is a non-coding RNA of Callorhinus ursinus (northern fur seal), 81 nucleotides long. NCBI's taxonomy places the organism in Eukaryota, Metazoa, Chordata, Mammalia, Carnivora, Otariidae. The record is from RefSeq and is a predicted model, not a curated record.
UAAGUAGUUCUUUUUUUUUGACAUAAUGCCAUUGUGCACUUAAUAGACUAUAGAAUAGUGUAAACAUAACUUUCAUAUGCA